This is a long non-coding RNA of Bos taurus (domestic cattle), 1746 nucleotides long. The record is from Ensembl. Lineage: Eukaryota; Metazoa; Chordata; Mammalia; Artiodactyla; Bovidae.
GCUAAGUCACUUUAAUUCUUGUCCAACUCUGUGACUCUAUGGACUGUAGCCUGCCAGGCUCUUCUGUCCUCCGGAUUCUCCAGGCAAGAAUACUGGAGUGGGUUGCCAUGCCCUCCUCCAGGGGAUCUUCCUGACUCAGGGGUAGAGCCCAGGCUCCUGCAGCUUCUGCACUGCAGGCGGAUUCUUCACUGCUGAGCCACCAGAGAAGCCCCACUGUGUGAGAAUAGCUCUCAGCCAGCAAAGGAACUCGUGUGUCAUCAGAGGCGAACCUCAGCAUGGCUCUGCCCCGGAUGUGCUGAGCAACACUGACCACACUGCCAGCCCUCUCUGGUCAGCAGAGACUUCCGCAGGGAUAAGCCCUGUGAUGUCCCUGGAACCUCUCUCCAGCCUGAUACACUGGGGUCCUCCCAAUGCACUGGGGUCCUCCCACCUGUCGCUACUCACAGGGUGGUCCAGGGACCUUAGCCUCACUAGGACCUUGUGAGAUAUGCAGUUUCUCAGCACCCCUCCCCGGUCUCCUGAACAGGCACGAUCACGGUGGUCUGGGAACACGUACAGUCGAAGGCCACUGCUCUAACCCUUCCUUUGGCGCAGGAAGACCCCAGUGACUGUUGUUUCACCCAAGGGGUCCAGCCUCCUGAUUCUGGCCUGGAAAAGUCAUAAUUUGGGGACCGACAACCUGGCUUCUCGCCUACCAUCUGACUGGGAUCCAGUCUCUUCACGUCAGCAUCUUGCCACUUUCACUCUCUGGGGUCAUCUGGGAACCUCAGCGAAUGGAAGGAACCUCCACAUCACUAACUGAGUUCCUACUGUGUGCCUGACACCCUGCCAAUCACAUCACAGCAUCAGGAGUGGAAAUCACAAUGGAGACAAAAUAAACAAAUCGCAGGGGACAGAGAGUGUCCUGGUGCAGACGCUUUCUAGAGAUGAUGCUUUCAGUGCGCGCUUCCCAGCAGCUCUGUGAAGCCCUUGCCUCGUGGAGGAUGGAUGAAGCCUGCCUUCCACUUCAUGCUUUGCCCAGCAUUGACUCUCAGGCUUGGUUUUGACAGUCAGGACUCCUCCCACCGCCCUUUGCUGCAGCAUCCCAGCCAGCAUGCAGAUUCCCAGGGAUCUUUGUCGGUGGUGAUCUCUCUGCCAACGGUGCCUUCUCUUCCUUUCACCCUUCCCAUCCUAUCUCUGCCCCAUCCACACAUCUAUUUUAAAAAAUUUAGAUGUGUUGCAUCUGCCAGGGUUCUUUGGAGGUAAGCAACAGAAAAGGACUCUGGCAAAUCUUUUUGUAACAGAAAAAUAUUCAUUUCCAAGAUUUAGGACAGGUCCCAGAAGUUGCGAGACACUGAACUACUAGGCCUCAGAGAGACAGGAGCUGGGGAAACUGGACUUCUAGCUACCAGGAAGUAAGAAGUCAGAACAACUUGGUGCCAACUAGAGUGACCUCAAGUCACUCUAUCAUGCCUGAAAUUCUCAGGAAAGAACAUCUGAUUGGCCCAGCUUGAGUUCCUCGCCCAACUCAUGACUGAAUCAGGUCAGGUACCAGGACUGUGUGUCCACCAAGACUGCAUGAGGAAGGGAAAGCUGGAGCCCAGAGGAAAAUUUGGUGCAGACACCACCCUUGGUGCACACUUUAUCCCAGACACAGCCUGGAUGGAUGCUAGAGGCUACGGGAUGAACUCUGCAGUUCCUGCUGCAAGUUCCUGCUCCACUAAUAGCCCAGUGGAGGAGGCUGGUUAAAUAGAAAGUACUUGAAAC